GCUCUCACCUUCAGUAUUGUUAACCGCAACAAUCAUUCAGUCGAUAAGAGCCCUUUGCUCUUCUCCAACCCUCAUUAUCUCGUCCCUUUUCUCGAGCUAUAUCUGUACAAGGAUGGUAAUAUUCCCGAUAUAGACUCUAUGCCUUGCCCACGAAUCCUCGCUACUCAUCUCCCUUAUCAAUUCCUUCCUAGCAGCAUCUUGGAUUGCUCCAAUUGUCGAAUCAUCUACCUGUGCCGAAACCCUUUGGAUGUGUUCACUUCAGUGUUGCAAUUCUUCCUGCAAAAUGGUCAUAUUUCAAGCCCAUCGAUGUCUAUUGAUGUACCUUUUGAAGAGUUUUGUCAGGGCAUACACGCGUAUGGUCCAUUUUGGGACCAUUGUUUAGGAUAUUGGGAUGCAAGCUUGAAAAACCCUCAAAAAGUGUUGUUUUUGAAGUAUGAGGAUCUAAAAAAGGAUAUCAAUAGCUCCGUGAAGAAGAUGGCUGACUUCUUAGGAUAUCCAUUUUCAGCUGAGGAAGAGGAAGCAGGUUUGGUUGAAGAGAUAGCAACGCUUUGUAGCUUCGAAAAUCUUAAGAAUUUGAACUGUAACAAAGAGGGGGAGAUACAAACUGUUUUUAGAGCUAAGCAUAAUUCCUUUUUCAGGAAAGGAGAAGUCGGUGAUUGGGUGAAUUUGGUUCCUCCAUCCAUGGCCAACCGACUCGAAAAACUGAUGCAAGAAAAGUUUGGUGAAUCAGGGUUGACACUGGAUAUCCAUGGCAAUUCUGUCGGCUGAAGAUGAAUGUUGGAUGGGACGGAUCCAUGUUUCAACAGUUUUUCCUCAAAAAACAAAGAAAACAAAAUAAAAGGCCUAAUUCAGUUACGUUCAAAUUGUUUGUUGCUUAUUGUUGUGUAAGUGUGUGUUUGUAUUAAUUACUUUUCAUUAAGUUAUUGUAAGACCAAAAUUAUCAGUUUUGGAACAUGUUAGUAUAUAUCUGUGCAAAUGCGCGUUUCCCAGGGCUUACUGCAAUAGUUUAUCACUUUUUGAUCUUUUCAAUCAUUUUUUUAUCUCAUAUCCAUCACAUUAUAAAAAUUAUUACAGUGAUUAUUUUAAAUAAUAUUUCAAAUAAUCUUCUAUCCAAGCACACGCUUUAUUUAUUGUUUUCGGAAAUCAACUAUCCAAAAUAAACAAAACAUUGAUUAGUUACAAUUUGGGGAAUCGCUAAUUACUAUGUGACCUUAAAUAUUUCAAAUUCCUGAUUUUUGGAUGUGUGAUCUCGCCUAAUCCAAACAAGGAUGUUUUGUUUACACCACACAUUCGACUAAUUCUUAAUCAUUAAUUGUUUGGUUCACUACAGACUAAAACUAAAAAAAAAAAAAAAAAAACUUAAUUCUUUUUUUGACCACCAAAAGUGAGAAGGGUACUACUAUCGGUAAACAAAAUUUUGCGCACAAUUCUAUGAGCAAAAUCAUUAUUUGAUUGGUUGAGACCCCAAAAAUCUCCCUUGCUGGAAAAUUUUUUUAAAAUCAUUAUUCCAUUGGUCCUCUCUCUAGGGUAGGAAUAGUGGCCCCCACUUCUUCUAGACUUUUUCAAUUUACGUAGAAUUCAAACACAAUUUACAAAACCAUCUCCAGACUAGAAACCGCAACAAGACUUAAUACCUUUUUUUAAUUUUUCUAAAAUGAUAAGACCACUACCAGCAUACAAAAGUUUGAGCACAAUUCUAAGAGAAAAUCGUUAUCUCCAUUUGAAGAAGUAAGAAAAAGAGUUAAACGGCUCAAAGUGGGAGUGAAAUUUUUUAUUGUACUCUAAAUUGCUCAAUUCCUUAGUUUGGAAAAGGCAAUGCAAGUAAUCUCAAUUGGUCCACAAACUUUGUCAUAAGUUAAAAUUCUUCCCACAUCGAGCCACUAACUAGCGUCUAUUAUCGUUCCUCUAACUCCUAUGCCUUGCUACCUGAUAUGGGUAGUACGGCAUAUAAUAAUAAUAAUACUAAUAAUAAUAAUAAUUACUCCUAUCAAUUUUUACUAUAAUAAUUUUAAAAUUUUUUGUAAGGUAGAACUUUACAUCGAGAUGCACAUUAAAGACAUACAUAUCAUGAUUAUCUAACCUGUGGUACCUCACACAUUAAAGCACCUACUCUAUUUUCUGUAGACAGCUAUGAUCCAAUGGAAUUAAUAUAGAAUCCUUUUCCACCAAUUAAAUAUGACAAGACUUCAAGUAUGGUUACCCUCUCACUCUCAUCGACCGUAUGAUUGAUGAUUACAUUGCAAACUUUUGAGUAACUAUAUGUGAUAAAAGUGGAGGGUAGGGAGUGAUAGAGUAGAGAAAUGAGAAAAUGAAAAGAAUGUUGUAUUAGAUAAAAUUAUGUAUGUCUACAAGUAUAUGAGGUGCCUUAUAUAGAUAUGGUAAGAUAUGAUAAAUGUAGUGGUUAUGGUAGUUGGUAGAUGUUGUAAAUACAUGUAGUUAGUAGUGGUUGAAUACACUAGAUACAAGAUAGAAAACUCAAAAAAUAUGAGUUAGAUAGUAGCUAUAUUUACAUCUAACAUCCCCCUCAAAUUCAAGGUGAUAAAGGGGAAACCAAAACUUGAGUUUGGAAAUGAAAAUAUGAAACUGUCCCGUGAAUGGGAUUUUGUGAAAAAAUCCGCAAUUUGGUCUACAGACACCAUAGGUACCAAAGAAAGAGUUUGUUACAUAAGAUGGUGCUGAAUGAAAUGGCAGUCAAUCUCUAUGUGUUUCAUCCUUUCGUGGAAGACGUCAUUAUGAGCGAUUUGAUCAGCACUCUUAUUAUUACAAUAGAUAGGAGUACUGGUAGAGAAUGGAACACCCAUGUCAUGAAGGAGCCAGCUCAACCAUAGAAGCUCGGUAGCAGUAUCAGCAAGGGCACAAUACUCCGACUUUGAGCUAGAUCGAGAAACAACUAAUUGCUUCUUGCUUUGCCAAGAGAUAAGGGAAGCUCCAAGAAAGAAACAGUAACCUGUUGUAGAAUAACGGUUAGUAGGAUCACCAACCAAUCAACAUCAGAAUAUGCUCGUAACUCUAGAGAAGAAAAUGAGGAAAAAUGCAAUCCAUGAUAGAUGGUUCCUUUCACAUAGUACAAGAUUCGAAGAACUGCAGCAUAGUGAGUGGAACGUGGACUUGACAUGAAUUGGCUCACCAAGUGUACAGCAUAAGCUAUAUCUAAUUGAGUAACAGUUAAGUAGAUUAGACUCCCAAUUGACUGACUAUACCAAGUAGGGUCACUUAGAAAUUCUCCAUCAUUUGGACGUAACUUGAUAUUAGUUUCAAGUGAAGUGUCAACAGUUUUGGAAUAUGUUAUACCAGCACGAGAGAGAAGAUCUGAUGCAUACUUUGUUUGGGAUAAAUAGUAGCCUAUAAAAGGACUUGGAAACCUCAAGACCAAGAAAGUAUGAGACUGUUCCCAAAUUCUUCAUCUCAAAUUGUGUGCUAAGACAUUCCUUUAAGGUUUGAAUUCCUACUCUAUCGUCACCAAUGAUCAGCAUAUCAUCCACAUAGAGAAGAAGCAGAAUAAUUCCAGAUGAAAAGUUUUUUAUGAAUAAUAGGAAAUCACAUGAGCUACUGGAAAAGCCAAGUCUUCCAAGGGUGCCGCUAAAUUUUGAAUACCAAACUCGAGGAGUUUGUUUAAGACCAUAGAGUGCUUUCUUUAGGUGACAGACUUUGUUUGGAAGAUGAUCAUAGCCAGGAGAAGGAUACGUGUAUACUUCGUCAGAAAGAUCACUGACGGGAUUUUUGUAUCAAUGCAAGUUUAAAAUCCGAAUUCAUACCCGUUGACUGCAAGUGUAUAGGCCGAAAUCGUAAUGUAGGGUAUGUAUCGGGUCGAUCCCACGAGGAGCAAAUUAAACAAGUAUUAGGCCUUUAUUUGUCUCUAUUAUUUAGACUUACAAUAAAUCUGGGCAAGAAAAUUAUAAUGCUAUUGUCUACAAAUCUGGUUUAAUCAAUGUUAAAUGCCAAUGGAGAAAUUUCACUAAAGAUUGAAUCUAGAGAUGUAGAUUCCACUUAUGGCAUAAAUAACACAAAUGAAUAGAUUUACCUCUUAUUAUUAUUCUUGUUCAACUAGGGAUUCAUUUCCAAUAUUACUAAAUCUCAUUCUCAUGAUAAAAUGGCUGACAGGUUGUCAGCCUGUGCAAUAAUAAAACCUGCUCAAACUAAAAGUAAUUUCUGUAGAUAGCGGUGAGCAGGGUCGAAUCCACAGGGACUGGGAGUAAUUGUUUCUUUUCAAAUUCACAGUGACAAAGGGGGUGUUCUUGUGCAGAAUGUGACACUCAAAGGAAUUCAAAUAAAAUCUAAGAAACUACUAAAAAUUAAAUAACAAAUUACUAAAAUCAAACGAGUGAUAAUUAAGGAUCUAGCCAAGAAAUAACUUCAGCAAUGGUUCACCUAAUUGAUCAUCGAUAAGCAAAGGCAAUUCCAAUUAUUUAUCAAUAAAUAGGUUAUAACUGCCAAACAAGCGAUGACAGUCAACCCCUCCUUACUGUGUCGGUGAUCAAGGUACGCCCGUUAAUCACUGCUCUAAUUGAGAAAUAAUCCUAGGUACGCCCGUAGAAUUUAAUUCCCCAAUUGCCUUAAGUAUUAGAGGAGCCCUAUUCUAACCAAAUAACGCACUACCAGGGUUAUUUUAGAUUAGCCCGCGUAUUCCCCUGACACAAACCUAAUCAUGCCAGUUGUCACUAUUUUAGAGCAAUUAAACAAUUACGGAUUUAAUGCCCUAAUUGACAAUAGAUUACCCAAUCAACUAAUUAUCUGGAUCCAAGACAAUCAAUUAAUUAAAUAACCAUAAGCAUAGCAAUCAGGGAAUAUGCGGAUACCAAUAAAUAAAAGAAAAAGAUUAAAUUAAAACGAUCUCACAAUUUUAGAUGACCCAAAGCAUCCGUUGUCCCUUGACUAGAUAAGGGAAAUUAGUUCAUUGUUGCUAAACAAAGCCCACAAGAAAUUGUAAAGAGGGCCGCGGCCAUUAUCACAGAUGUUUGAAGAAUUCAAUUCGCAAGAACUAAAGGGGAAGAAAAGUCAAAGCUUUCCUCUUUGCUCCUGCCAUGCGUACUAAGACCCAAAGGAAAAGUCACCAAUAAUGCUCCUAAGCUACAGACGAAAGACUAAACAAAGCCAGUCAUCCUUUCCUCUGCUGCCGUUCUCUUUCUUUUUUUCCUUUUCUUGUGUGCGGCGGCCCUCCUUGCGUAGAGGACUCCGGAGGAAAAAGAAGCUCUGGCCCCUGCGGCGCUCCAGCCCUUUUUCUAGUUGUUGUCUUCAGUCGAAAUUACCAAAAAGGUCUUGCAUCUCCUUGUUCCAAAAAUACCCUGGAUGCCUGCUACUUGAAUUCUUUCCUGAUAACUGUCAAAUCGGCACUUAUUAUGGUAUUUUCGUUCUACUCCCUGAAAUACACGCAAAAUACUAAAAGUGAGUAGAAUCUAACAAUUAAUCCAGAUUGGGUCAGGUAAUAGGAGAAAUUAAUAAUAAAAUAAAUGAUAAAAUUGCAACCUAUCAAUGGCUUAGAGUUUUCCCUAUUUUCAUAGUGAAAUACUACUACUACUCUGUUUUGUUUCAUGAAAUGCUAAGUAAUCCACCUAAGGGUCCGUUUGUUUCGGGUGAAAAUGUUUUCCAGGAAAAGGGAGGUUCAGAACUGAUGCCUGCUGUGAUCAGUCAGGUGGUGGAAUAGUACAGAGAUGUUUUCGAAGAGCCUAAGGGAAUGCCCCCAACCAGGAGCCAUGAUCACCAGAUUGUGUUAAAAGAAGAAGCCAAGCCUUUCUAGGUAAGACCAUAUAGAUGUCCAUACGUACAGAAGACAGAGAUUGAGAGAUUGGUAAAAAAAUGCUGGAAAUAGGAAUCAUACAACCUAGUAGCAGUCCAUUUGCCUCCCCAGUGCUGCUAGUCAAGAAGAAGGAUGGGACAUGGAGGUUCUGUGUGGAUUACAGACAGCUAAAUGAGUUGAUAGUAAAGAAUAAAUUCCCUAUGCCCAAGAUUGAAGAGCUGAUAGAUGAACUACAUGGAGCCAAGUACUACACCAAAACUGACAUAAGAGCAGGAUACUUCCAAAUCAGAGUCAAGGUGGAAGACAUCCCAAAAACAGCUUUCAGAACUCACCAAGGACUCUAUGAGUUCAAGGUCAUGCCCUUUGGCUUGACCAAUGCUCCUGCCACCUUCCAAAGCCUAAUGAACCAGGUCUUUCAGGAGCAGAUGAGGAAGCAUGUCCUGGUAUUCUUUGAUGACAUCUUGGUUUACAGCCCAACCCUGGAGUUGCAUGUCAGGCAUGUAACUGAAGUACUGAAUUUCCUAAGGCAGCACCAACUAUAUGCUAAAAUGAGCAAGUGCUCCUUUGCUCAGCUGCAAGUGGCGUAUUUGGGGCAUAUCAUAUCAGUAGAAGGGGUGCAAGUUGACCCUAAGAAGGUAGAGUGCAUGGAGAGGUGGCGCAAACCAAAGAAUGUCAAACAGCUGAGGGGGUUCUUGGGAUUGACAGGCUACUACAGAAGGUUUGCAAUAGGGAGCGGAAGUUCAAUCAUUCAGUUGAUGAGAGCCCUUUGCUAUUCUCCAACCCUCAUUAUCUCGUCCCUUUCUUCGAGAUAUAUCUGUACAAGGAUGGUAAUAUUCUCAAUAUAGACUCUAUGCCUUGCCCACGAAUCCUCGCUACUCACCUGCCUUGUCAAUUCCUUCCUAGAAGCAUCUUGGAUUGUUCCAACUGUCGAAUCAUCUACCUGUGCCGAAACCCUUUGGAUGUGUUCACUUCAGUGUUGC
This 6714-nucleotide long non-coding RNA is filed under the name Coffea arabica (coffee). RNAcentral describes it as "long non-coding RNA (CARA_LNC005555)". Lineage: Eukaryota; Viridiplantae; Streptophyta; Magnoliopsida; Gentianales; Rubiaceae. The record is from RNAcentral.